This 465-nucleotide ribosomal RNA is filed under the name Vreelandella stevensii. RNAcentral describes it as "partial 16S ribosomal RNA". It matches the Rfam family "Bacterial small subunit ribosomal RNA", at positions 338 to 795 of the family's 1533-position model. Lineage: Bacteria; Pseudomonadati; Pseudomonadota; Gammaproteobacteria; Oceanospirillales; Halomonadaceae. The record is from RNAcentral.
CCUACGGGUGGCAGCAGUGGGGAAUAUUGGACAAUGGGCGAAAGCCUGAUCCAGCCAUGCCGCGUGUGUGAAGAAGGCCUUCGGGUUGUAAAGCACUUUCAGUGGGGAAGAAAGCCUUGGGGCUAAUACCCUCGAGGAAGGACAUCACCCACAGAAGAAGCACCGGCUAACUCCGUGCCAGCAGCCGCGGUAAUACGGAGGGUGCGAGCGUUAAUCGGAAUUACUGGGCGUAAAGCGCGCGUAGGCGGUCUGAUAAGCCGGUUGUGAAAGCCCCGGGCUCAACCUGGGAACGGCAUCCGGAACUGUCAGGCUAGAGUGCAGGAGAGGAAGGUAGAAUUCCCGGUGUAGCGGUGAAAUGCGUAGAGAGCGGGAGGAAUACCAGUGGCGAAGGCGGCCUUCUGGACUGACACUGACGCUGAGGUGCGAAAGCGUGGGUAGCAAACAGGAUUAGAUACCCCAGUAGUC